Molecule: long non-coding RNA, 1066 nt
Filed under: Brassica napus (rape)
Lineage: Eukaryota; Viridiplantae; Streptophyta; Magnoliopsida; Brassicales; Brassicaceae
Description: long non-coding RNA (BNAP_LNC002842)
Source: RNAcentral
AUUCUUCUUACGAUAUCUCAUUCCAUACGUCUCUCCUGCUAUAAAUAAAUGAUUUCAAUUCUCUGAAGUUCAUCACUUUUUUUUCUUCUAAAUCAUUCUUGAGAUUUCUAUUUUUUUCCGGUUGUUAGCAAUUGAAGAUUAUUGAAAGUUCUUGGUUCCACGGCUGUUUGACAUCCGCUUCUCUGUGCUUUCUCUGAUUAGACUGACUCUGGGUCUGUGAAUUAGAUUGUUCUCUCCUCAGUUAGGCAGUUGCAUCUUCGUGCUUAUGAUCUUAAAAAUGUCGAUUGAGACUAUCGAUCCUUUCUUUAUCAAAGCGUCGGUCUGUUCUUACGCCGAAUUUGGUCUUUUUUCAUCACGGUUGCUCUUCGUUGAGCUUUCUCCGGUGAUGGUGGUGAUGUCGCGACUCGGCGCAUAUCUCUUCUUCGUUACGCGACUUAUACGUGGGACAGCUCUCGAGAUUGAUCAUUAUCUUCUUUUGGAGUUUCUUUUGUUUGGGCCUCUAUGGGAUACUUUGUAACUUUUAGAUUUUGUCCUAUAUGAGCUUUUGUAUGUACUGUUUUGGUUUAAUAAUAAAAAAAUAUAUAUAUAUAUAGAAAGAAAAAGAGUAAAUAGCUUUACAAGUUCGAUCAUAUAUUUUAGUUAACUUUAUUGAAUAUAGUUAUUUAAUACUAACGUUUAAAUCAAAACCUGAUUCAAAAAAAUACUAAAAACCAAAAAUAACCGUUCCAGAUUACUUUGAGUAAUAAAUCUUAAUUACAGUUAUAUUAUCAAAAAAUACUAAUUCUUCAAGUUAUGGCGAUAAAUACAAAGCCGGAAAGUUUUAUAGCUUGCUUUCUUUUAUUACUAAUCAUUAUUCCUUUUAAGUUCUGUAUUAAUUAUGGAAAACAAAUUAAUUAAUAUGUUUUCAUAUAGCCUAUACACUAAUUCUCUCUGUAAAUGUUUAGAAAAUCUUCAUGACAAAAAUAAAAACUUAAUUUUGUUGUGGUCUGUUAACUUUAAGUAAAGCAUUAAAACCCUAAAAAUAAGAGAAAACAACAAAAGCAUGUGACUUGGGUUUCAAUUCAAA